UGGCUCAGACGGUAGAGCAUGGUGCUUCCAACGCCAAGGUCAUGGGUUCUGGGGUCACCCAU
RNAcentral lists this transfer RNA (62 nucleotides) under Salmo salar (Atlantic salmon). It matches the Rfam family "tRNA", at positions 8 to 63 of the family's 71-position model. From Rfam's summary of the family: Transfer RNA (tRNA) molecules are approximately 80 nucleotides in length. Their secondary structure includes four short double-helical elements and three loops (D, anti-codon, and T loops). Lineage: Eukaryota; Metazoa; Chordata; Actinopteri; Salmoniformes; Salmonidae. The record is from Rfam by way of RNAcentral. RNAcentral also lists the same sequence under 1 other name.